RNAcentral lists this ribosomal RNA (831 nucleotides) under uncultured eukaryote. RNAcentral describes it as "SSU rRNA". It matches the Rfam family "Eukaryotic small subunit ribosomal RNA", at positions 582 to 1441 of the family's 1831-position model. The record is from RNAcentral.
AUUCCAGCUCCAGGAGCGUAUAUUUAAGUUGUUGCAUGUUAAAAAGCUCGUAGUUGGAUUUCGGGUGGGUUCCAGCGGUCUGCCUCUGGUUUGUACUGCUGAGGCUCAUCUUUCUGCCGGGGACGGGCUCCUGGGCUUGACUGUCCGGGACUCGGAAUCGGCGUGGUUACUUUGAGUAAAUUAGAGUGUUCAAAGCAAGCCUACGCUCUGAAUACAUUAGCAUGGAAUAACACGAUAGGACUCUGGCCUAUCUUGUUGGUCUGUAGGACCGGAGUAAUGAUUAAGAGGGACAGUCGGGGGCAUUCGUAUUUCAUUGUCAGAGGUGAAAUUCUUGGAUUUAUGAAAGACGAACUUCUGCGAAAGCAUUUGCCAAGGAUGUUCUCAUUAAUCAAGAACGAAAGUUGGGGGCUCGAAGACGAUUAUAUACCGUCGUAGUCUCAACCAUAAACGAUGCCGACUAGGGAUUGGCAGGUGUUUUAUUGAUGACCCUGCCAGCACCUUAUGAGAAAUCAAAGUUUUUGGGUUCCGGGGGGAGUAUGGUCGCAAGGCUGAAACUUAAAGGAAUUGACGGAAGGGCACCACCAGGCGUGGAGCCUGCGGCUUUAUUUGACUCAACACGGGAAAACUUACCAGGUCCAGACACGGGAAGGAUUGACAGAUUGAGAGCUCUUUCUUGAUUCUGUGGGUGGUGGUGCAUGGCCGUUCUUAGUUGGUGGGUUGCCUUGUCAGGUUGAUUCCGGUAACGAACGAGACCUCAGCCUGCUAAUAGUCAAGGGUACCUUUGGUAUCCGCCUGACUUCUUAGAGGGACUAUUGGCGUUUAGCCAAUGGA